AUUUUGAGAAAUAAAAUUAACGGUACCAAUUUUCUUGCACCAGAUGCGCAUUUCGACAAUACAUGUCUCUUCAGUGAUGCUCGUGGCCAAAAUAUUUGCAAUCCAAAGCUUAUAUAAAAGAUGAAGAGCUAUAAUCCAAAAGGUCCAAAAAGUAUAGCCAAAUCCGUGAAAGGAAUCAGAGCUUUGCAUGAGGGAGAUACAUUCCUUAAUUUAUAAUAAUUUCUAAUAUUUUGUAACAG
Molecule: long non-coding RNA, 239 nt
Filed under: Mytilus galloprovincialis (Mediterranean mussel)
Lineage: Eukaryota; Metazoa; Mollusca; Bivalvia; Mytilida; Mytilidae
Source: RNAcentral